UCCGUAGGCGGACUAAUAAGUCAGGGGUGAAAUCCCACAGCUCAACUGUGGAACUGCCUUUGAUACUGUUAGUCUUGAGUUAUAUGGAAGUAGAUAGAAUGUGUAGUGUAGCGGUGAAAUGCUUAGAGAUUACACAGAAUACCGAUUGCGAAGGCAGUCUACUACGUAUAUACUGACGCUAAUGGACGAAAGCGUGGGGAGCGAACAGGAUUAGAUACCCUGGUAGUCC
RNAcentral lists this ribosomal RNA (229 nucleotides) under uncultured bacterium. RNAcentral describes it as "partial 16S ribosomal RNA". It matches the Rfam family "Bacterial small subunit ribosomal RNA", at positions 568 to 796 of the family's 1533-position model. The record is from RNAcentral.